Molecule: ribosomal RNA, 484 nt
Filed under: uncultured bacterium
Lineage: Bacteria
Description: partial 16S ribosomal RNA
Rfam family: Bacterial small subunit ribosomal RNA
Source: RNAcentral
AUUGAACGCUGGCGGCAGGCCUAACACAUGCAAGUCGAGCGGAUGAAGGGAGCUUGCUCCUGGAUUCAGCGGCGGACGGGUGAGUAAUGCCUAGGAAUCUGCCUGGUAGUGGGGGCUAACGUCCGGAAACGGGCGCUAAUACCGCAUACGUCCUGAGGGAGAAAGUGGGGGAUCUUCGGACCUCACGCUAUCAGAUGAGCCUAGGUCGGAUUAGCUAGUUGGUGGGGUAAAGGCCUACCAAGGCGACGAUCCGUAACUGGUCUGAGAGGAUGAUCAGUCACACUGGAACUGAGACACGGUCCAGACUCCUACGGGAGGCAGCAGUGGGGAAUAUUGGACAAUGGGCGAAAGCCUGAUCCAGCCAUGCCGCGUGUGUGAAGAAGGUCUUCGGAUUGUAAAGCACUUUAAGUUGGGAGGAAGAGCAGUAAGUUAAUACCUUGCUGUUUUGACGGUACCAAAAGAAUAAGCACCGGCUAACUUCGUG